Molecule: ribosomal RNA, 261 nt
Filed under: uncultured archaeon
Lineage: Archaea
Description: partial 16S ribosomal RNA
Rfam family: Archaeal small subunit ribosomal RNA
Source: RNAcentral
CAGCCGUAAACAAUGUGCGUUAGGUGUGUCGGUAACCACGCGUUACUGAUGCGCCGAAGAGAAAUCGUGAAACGCACCACCUGGGAAGUACGGUCGCAAGGCUGAAACUUAAAGGAAUUGGCGGGGGAGCGCUACAACGGGUGGAGCCUGCGGUUUAAUUGGACUCAACGCCGGAAAACUCACCGGGGGCGACAGCAAUAUGUAGGUCAAGCUAAAGACUUUACCAGAAUCGCUGAGAGGAGGUGCAUGGCGUAGUCGUGU